AUGAAUGAGCUCGUCCACGCCAACCAAUCGGCAUUCAUCAAGGGGAGGAAUCUACACGACAAUUUCUUGCUAGUGAGACAGGUGGCUAGAUCCCUACAUCGUCGGAGAGCAAAAGGUGUCUUACUCAAGUUGGAUAUCUCGCGAGCGUUCGACACCUUAUCUUGGCCAUUCUUAUUUGAGGUUCUUCGUGCCAAGGGGUUUUCAGACACUUGGAUGUCCUGGAUUGCGAUCUUGCUUUCUACGGCCAGCUCACGCGUGGUGGUUAACGGACAUGCGGGGCAAAAAUUCUCUCAUGCUCAAGGGCUUCAGCAAGGAGAUCCGGUCUCGCCGUUGCUUUUUGUUAUUGCCAUGGAUGUCCUCACAUCCCUAAUCACGAGAGCACAGGAGAGUGGAGUCUUGAGCAAGAUGCCGGGUUGCACCCCCAUGCAAAGACUCUCCAUCUAUGCGGAUGAUGUCGUAUUAUUUGUUAGACCAACCAUUCCGGAUCUUAGAUUUGUCAAGGAGGCUUUGCACAUAUUCGGGAUCGCUUCGGGCAUGAACAUAAAUUACUCUAAGUCCACGGCCAUCAUGAUUAGAGAUGAGGAUGGUGACAAGGAGCUGGUCGAGGGUGCCAUGCCCUGGAGCAUGGAGUCUUUCCCCUGCAAGUACUUGGGGCUGCAGCUAUCCAUAUGGCAAUUGACGUGCUCGGAGUGGCAGCCGAUUGUGGACAAUGUGCUUAAUUUCAUGCCAGGCUAG
RNAcentral lists this ribosomal RNA (735 nucleotides) under Triticum aestivum (bread wheat). Its description in RNAcentral is "partial small subunit ribosomal RNA". Lineage: Eukaryota; Viridiplantae; Streptophyta; Magnoliopsida; Poales; Poaceae. The record is from RNAcentral.